GGAUGAACGCUGGCGGCGUGCCUACCCCAUGCAAGUCGAACGGAGUCCAGCCUUUAAGCCCUUCGGGUCAAAGAGGGGAAGACUGAGUGGCGGACGGGUGAGUAACACGUGGGCAACCUGGCUCAUAGAGGGGGAUAACAGAGAGAAAUUUCUGCUAAUACCGCAUAAGCACACACUGCCGCAUGGCAGAGGGUGAAAAGAGAAUCGCUAUGAGAUGGACCCGCGUCUGAUUAGCCAGUUGGCAGGGUAAGAGCCUACCAAAGCGACGAUCAGUAGCCGAUCUGAGAGGAUGAACGGCCACAUUGGGACUGAGACACGGCCCAAACUCCUACGGGAGGCAGCAGUGGGGGAUAUUGCACAAUGGGGGGAACCCUGAUGCAGCGACGCCGCGUGAGUGAAGAAGUAUUUCGGUAUGUAAAGCUCUAUCAGCAGGGAAGAUAAUGACAGUACCUGAAGAAGAAGCCCCGGCUAACUACGUG
Molecule: ribosomal RNA, 479 nt
Filed under: uncultured bacterium
Lineage: Bacteria
Description: partial 16S ribosomal RNA
Rfam family: Bacterial small subunit ribosomal RNA
Source: RNAcentral